RNAcentral lists this transfer RNA (71 nucleotides) under Trichonephila inaurata madagascariensis. It matches the Rfam family "tRNA". Rfam says of the family: Transfer RNA (tRNA) molecules are approximately 80 nucleotides in length. Their secondary structure includes four short double-helical elements and three loops (D, anti-codon, and T loops). Lineage: Eukaryota; Metazoa; Arthropoda; Arachnida; Araneae; Nephilidae. The record is from Rfam by way of RNAcentral.
GGUUCCGAAUGUAGUGGUAUCACGUUCGCUUCAAUCGCGAAAGGUCUCCGGUUCGAUCCCGGACGGAACCA